AGGAUGAUCAGUCACACUGGAACUGAGACACGGUCCAGACUCCUACGGGAGGCAGCAGUGGGGAAUAUUGGACAAUGGGCGAAAGCCUGAUCCAGCCAUGCCGCGUGUGUGAAGAAGGUCUUCGGAUUGUAAAGCACUUUAAGUUGGGAGGAAGGGUUGUAGAUUAAUACUCUGCAAUUUUGACGUUACCGACAGAAUAAGCACCGGCUAACUCUGUGCCAGCAGCCGCGGUAAUACAGAGGGUGCAAGCGUUAAUCGGAAUUACUGGGCGUAAAGCGCGCGUAUGUGGUUUGUUAAGUUGGAUGUGAAAUCCCCGGGCUCAACCUGGGAACUGCAUUCGAAACUGACUGACUAGAGUAUGGUAGAGGGUGGUGGAAUUUCCUGUGU
This 387-nucleotide ribosomal RNA is filed under the name uncultured bacterium. Its description in RNAcentral is "bacterial SSU rRNA". It matches the Rfam family "Bacterial small subunit ribosomal RNA", at positions 297 to 676 of the family's 1533-position model. The record is from RNAcentral.